Molecule: ribosomal RNA, 1456 nt
Filed under: uncultured prokaryote
Description: partial 16S ribosomal RNA
Rfam family: Bacterial small subunit ribosomal RNA
Source: RNAcentral
AGAGUUUGAUCCUUGGCUCAGAUUGAACGCUGGCGGCAUGGCUAAAACAUGCAAGUCGAGGGAGAAACCCCUUCGGGGGUGGAAACCGGCGGAAGGGCGAGGAAUACAUUGGAACGUGCCCCGAGGUGGGGGAUAGCCAGGGGAAACUCUGGGUAAUACCCCACAAGCUCUUCGGAGGAAAGCUCCGGCGUAUGGGGAUGGGUCUAGAACGUAUCAGCUAGUUGGUGGGGUAAAGGCCUACCAAGGCUACGACGCGUAGCUGGUCUGAGAGGACGACCAGCCACAUCGGAACUGAGACACUGUCCGGACACCUACGGGUGGCUGCAGUAACGAAUCUUCCGCAAUGGGCGCAAGCCUGACGGAAGCGACGCUGCGUGCCAGAGGAAGCCCUUCGGGGUGUAAAUGGCUUUCAGGGUUAUGCAAAACUGAGCAGACCCAGAAGAAGGAGCGACUAACUUCGUGCCAGCAGUCGCGGUAAUACGAAGGCUCCGAACGUUACUCGGAUUUACUGGGCUUAAAGGGCGUGUAGGCUGAUGGCAAGGUGCUUUGUGAAAUCCUGCGGCUCAACCGCAGAAGGGCAGAGCAGACCGGUCGUCUAGAGAUAGCUAGGGGCAACUGGAACUCUCGGUGGAGCGGUGAAAUGCGUAGAUAUCGAGGGGAACGCCAAAGGCGAAGGCAGGUUGCUGGGGCUAUUCUGACGCUGAAACGCGAAAGCGUGGGGAGCGAACGGGAUUAGAUACCCCGGUAGUCCACGCUGUAAACGAUGUGCACUAGGUUCGGGAGGUACUCACACCGUCCGGGCCGAAGAGAAAUUAUUAAGUGCACCGCCUGGGGAGUACGGCCGCAAGGCUAAAACUCAAACGAAUUGACGGGGGCUCACACAAGCGGUGGAGCAUGUGGCUUAAUUCGAAGCAACGCGAAGAACCUUACCCAGGUUUGACAUGCGCGGAUACUAUCUUGGAAACAGGAGUAACGCCCUUUGGGUGGAACAUGCACAGGUGCUGCAUGGCUGUCGUCAGCUCGUGCUGUGAAGUGUCGGGUUAAGUCCCUUAACGAGCGCAACCCCUAUCGCUAGUUGCCAGCAAGUAAUGUUGGGGACUCUAGCGAGACUGCCGGUGUCAAACCGGAGGAAGGUGGGGAUGACGUCAAGUCCUCAUGGCCCUUAUGUCCUGGGAUGCAAACGUGCUACAAUGGCGUGUACAGAGCGAUGCAAUACCGCGAGGUGGAGCAAAUCGCAAAAAGCACGCCCCAGUUCGGAUUGCAGGCUGCAACUCGCCUGCAUGAAGUUGGAAUCGCUAGUAAUCGUGGAUCAGCUACGCCACGGUGAAUACGUUCCUGAGCCUUGUACACACCGCCCGUCACGUCAUGGAAGCCGGGAGCGCCCGAAGUCGCCCCAUCUCAGGGGUGCCUACGGCGAGAUCGGUGACUGGGACGAAGUCGUAACAAGGUAACCGUA